AAAGUAAUUCUAAGCUAACGCUGGCUGCUUUUCUACUAAAUAUGAAUCUCAACAUAGGGGAAAUAUGAAUAUAAAGAUAUAAUAAAUGUGGAAAUCUUAUCUGAAAUAUACUAAUCGCACAAGUCUUGGUAAAACAAUACUGAAAAAUCUGAAUACUGAAUCAAAAUUCUAAAACUGAAUCUAGAAGUCCGAUAAGUCUCUACUGACUGAAUCUAGAGAGUCACUAGGACAAGACCCAGCUGACUCAAACUAUCUGAAAUGAAUAAUGAAACAUCUACUAAUAAACUUGAAAUCUGAAUAGCUAAGUCCCCAGACUAUGAGGACUCACCAACUGCAGGAAUGUAGAUAAGAUGCUCGAAAAUCACUCACGCUGAUGAAACUGAGCACUUGAACCUACAUUAUGAGACAAUGUAGCAUAUAGACGUAUAUGUGGAUCAGUACUUUGAUGAUGUACUAAGUAUAUGGGGGUGAAUGUAAUAAGUAAGCAAUGUCAUCACAAUUUAUAAAAUCAUGCAUGCUAAAUGUAAAUGACUCACAUAGGCUUGAGUAAUCUGAAAUCUGAAGAUCUUAAAUCAUGAAUAGUAAAGCACAUAAUAUAAAUCUUGUGAUCUAUUACACUUAGUUCUGCAAUCUGUAUUCUGUUCUUAUUCUCAAAUCGUAUAGGCUAAGUGAAAUCUGAAAACUCAUUCUACAUGGAAAAAAAUAUUUUAUCUUAAGGAAAAUCUUUCAAAGCUUUUCUUUACUAGUAGAGAGGUUCUUCUAACCGACAUAAACCAUGUGAGAAUUCAUGGAGUCCAACGUUCUUGUCCCCUUAAGGAGAAAUUCUUACGUUGAGGAGAGGAGUCAUACUCUUGCCAAAGAGUAUAACCUAUCUAAAUGAGCAUAUAUCUAUCAUCCACGUAGAAGUGGGAACAAUCUAAAUCCUACAUUGGUACGUAGUUUUGGGGUAUGAAACCGUAGUAAAGUACCCAUUUCGGUGCUAAAUACUACUCUCAUUAAAUCUAUAAGCUCAUUCUGAUGAAAAUCCACUUUUAAAAUAAUCUAAUGGUUUAUAAAUCAACCGUAUAUCUGUAAAGCUAAAUCUGUAAUCUGAAUCUGUAAAGUGAAUUUCAUAUCUAUUCUGAGACCAAAAGGUCAAAUCUUUAUCAAUAAUCUGAAAGGAAUCUAGUCAUAGGGUGCUUAUAACACAAAAAUUAUUGAAAUAGCAAUCUUUAAUUAGGGCUUAAUGACCCAUGUAUCAAUCUCAUGUUCAAACAUCAAAAUGUUCAUGCUUGAUAAUGUAAACAUUGAUAAUUCAAUUCAUAAUCUGGAAAUUUCUGCAAUAUGCAUGAAAAUAUGAACAUAAUCAUGUAAUUCAACUUCUAAAUCAUUGGAAAUCUCAUAAGCUUGUAAAUAACAUUAAUGGGUAUAAACUAACUUCAAUUUCAUGGGAAAUCAUAUAAAAUUCAGUAAAUCCGUAAUUAAAAUAAGUUUUAGACACAAGGAUGAAAGGAGUAUCCUCGUUCAUAACCCCACAUACCUCAAUAGAUAAACUAGAUGCUAAAACUUGAAUCUUGGAUCUCUAUUGAUGCUUUGAAGAUGAAUUCUUAGAUUUCUUGUAUUGGGAAUCCUUAAUCUUGAAUUUCCUUGGAGAACUAAUGGAAGAAUUGGGUUUCUUGGAGAAGGAGCUUUGAUAAUAUGGGAUUUUCUUUUGAGAGAAAAGUAAUGAAAUAAGCAUAAAGUGCUUUGGUAUAUGCUUAAUGAUGUGUUUUGGAUAGAUUCCAAAAUGUCCCAACUAAAAUUUAAAUCGGAACUGGAAAUCAACCAAAAAUCUCGAUUUACUGGGCUACCGCGCCGCGCCGCGCCACGCCACUAUCGCGGCGGCUCUCUGGAAAAGGACGAGUAGGAACUGGGCGUUCAUCGCGACAUGCCACAAUUGCGGUGCCCCUUGGAUUUCCAUUUUGACCCUUGGCGCGAUGCGCUAGAAUCGCGAAAUCUCACUGGAUUGGGAUAAUUGGGAAAAUAGGCUUCUCCGCAAUUCGGGGCUAUCACAGAGGGCCACUGGAAUUUGACAAUUGCUGAUUUUGCCUUCUCCGCAAUGCUCUAAGUGCCCAGGUGGCAUACUGUCAACUUAAAAAUGCCAUAACUCCUUCACCAAGUGUCGGAUUUGGGCGAAUCUAAUAUUAUUGGAAAGCUUAUUAAAUUUUUCACACAAUGGGAGGUCUAAAUCUGGAAAAUUCGACACGAAAUAAUUAUUCUUCAUUUUGGAAGCUAUCCCUUAAUAUCCUAGGGACAGAUUUUAGCUAGAAAAGGUAUGGGGUAUUACACAUAUGCAGUACUAUCGUCAUAUUCGGAAAUUUCGGCAAUAAUUUUUAUCGAUUUCCGAUUCGUAUUCAUCGACUAUAGGUUUUUUCCUCUUGGAGGUUUUGAAAACUUCUUCGGCUUUUCACUUCCUACUUCUAGAAGCAGUGAAAACAGGUUUCUUAACUGCUCUAUGAACUCUUCUCACCAUUUAUGAUCUACAAUAAAAAAAUGAAUCUACAGUUGUUGAUUUAUCAACCACUGGUCUAUUAAUAAAAAUAAAAAAAAUGCAGCAAAAAUAAAUCUGUAGUGGUCGACCUAUCGGCCACUGGUCUAUUAAGAAAAAUGAGAAAACGGCUCACAUCAAACAUGCAAAUCAAGUUCCAACUUCACCAUAUAUUGGCAGUGCAAUUCACAACAACAAGAACACCAUUAAAAUGGGUCCAAUUCUGUAUAAAAAAUUUAAAAUCAAUACUCAAUAUAAGUAAAAAAUAUUUUAAAAAAUUCUACUCAUUAGCCAAAGCAAAACACAAUCAAUUAUGCGGAAUCGAUAAUGUUAACUAAAAACUCAAAGUUCGACUAAUUCAACGAAGAACGGUAUAAUUUUUAUUAGAAUUGAAGAAUCCCAACACAAAAUGAAAUAAAAAAAAUAACUAAAAUGGAUCUAAAACUAAGCGGGGAAGAAUAUUAAACUCAUGAGCAAGAGAAACUGAAUAAUUUCGACCGAGAAAGCAGAAUCGUGCAAAAAAAAAAAAUUUCAAAAAAUUUGAACUAAAAUCGGAAGAAGGAUGGUUUUUCAAGAUAGAAAAAUAUUGUUUAAAAUAUUAAAUUAUUUUAAUAAAUGUUUGGAAAAUUAAUAAAUAUAAAAAAGGGACCAUGUUGUAUUUUUUAAAAAGUUGUAUUUUUUCUCCAAGUUUUAAAAAUAUUAAAGAGGCCCAUGACCCCACAACCCUGGCCCACUUUUUGCCCUUUUCAAUCCUUAACCCUAAAAAAUAAAUUAAAAAAAAAAUUAGUGUCUAACCUUCAAAAUAAGUUUUGAAAGUGGGUAGAUUUCAAAAUAGUCUUUAGAAACUCUAACAAGUCCUUACAUAAAAUAGCAAGGAAAACUAAGUAUUCAUGAACCUAUUAAGAAAUAUCAGUGAAGUCUGAUGGCUUACAAGUAUGUAGACUAUCAAAAUGAUUCAUACAAUAAAGUUCAUUAGUUUUAUAAGCUUCACCGACAAACAAAUGUAUUAUUAUGAGUACCAAACACGCAAUACUUUCACAAACCAAACGUAACAUGUCUUUAGGACUAGAAAAAGGCACACCCUAGAACAAAACGUAGAAGUUAACGCACGCGCACACACAUAUAUCCAUCAUAUAAUUGAAACGAAGAGUCGUAGCACGCGACAGAUUGCUUUGACUUGAUUUAUGGCAAAAUUAUAAACAACGCGAUGGAUUCUUUAACUUUGUCAAAGUUCUCUUUUUUCCCAAAUGUUUUUCCUUUCAAAUAUAUCUUCUUACCGAUUAUUACUUCAGCCUCUGUGGGAUUGUGACUUAUGCCUUCACUUUUUCUUGCUUCAUAAGUUGUUAGGACUUGUGAAGUUUUGAUGAUUGACAAGAGGCCAUGGAAUAAGUAAGUUUAGCUGAUUCAUGAAAAACUAUUUUAAAGAGUUCAAC
RNAcentral lists this long non-coding RNA (3939 nucleotides) under Capsicum annuum. RNAcentral's name for it is "long non-coding RNA (CANN_LNC002307)". The record is from RNAcentral. Lineage: Eukaryota; Viridiplantae; Streptophyta; Magnoliopsida; Solanales; Solanaceae.